This 75-nucleotide non-coding RNA is filed under the name Streptomyces eurocidicus. Lineage: Bacteria; Bacillati; Actinomycetota; Actinomycetes; Kitasatosporales; Streptomycetaceae. The record is from RNAcentral.
CUUGAGGGAGCCGAUGAGUACGGGCCGGUCCUCGGGGCGCUGUUGGCCAUAAGUGGCGAGGAGGGCCUGGGCCUC